This 73-nucleotide transfer RNA is filed under the name Caudoviricetes sp. Its description in RNAcentral is "tRNA-Trp". It matches the Rfam family "tRNA". Rfam says of the family: Transfer RNA (tRNA) molecules are approximately 80 nucleotides in length. Their secondary structure includes four short double-helical elements and three loops (D, anti-codon, and T loops). The record is from RNAcentral. Lineage: Duplodnaviria; Heunggongvirae; Uroviricota; Caudoviricetes.
GGGUGUAUAGCUCAGUUGGUAGAGCGAUGGUCUCCAAAACCAUAUGUCAUCGGUUCGAUUCCGAUUGCGCCUG